UCUCUGGCCGUCAGAUUUAUUUACCCAUGGAGGUUUGCAAGCUUGUGCAAGGGCAGAGAUACCGGCAAAAGCUUAGUACCACACAAGCAGCGAAGUUGCUGAAAAUAACCUGCAAACGUCCUCAGAAUAGGCUGAACGGAAUAUUAAAGGCUGCGAGAGGUAAUUUUGAUGUUGAAGAGCUUACAGAGGGGGAGUUCUCGGCCAGUGGAUUUCC
Long non-coding RNA from Triticum aestivum (bread wheat), 214 nucleotides. RefSeq lists it as uncharacterized. The record is from RefSeq and is a predicted model, not a curated record. The transcript has 3 exons. NCBI's taxonomy places the organism in Eukaryota, Viridiplantae, Streptophyta, Magnoliopsida, Poales, Poaceae.